CAGGCCAUCCAUCCAAGAUCAUCUAUCUGAGCUGCUGAAAACUGCCUUGGUACAGAUCUGUUGCAGCUUUGUGUCACUGACUGUAUUUCUUCAAAUUCCUGUUCCGUGUCACAUUGCUUAUGCAAGACUGAAUCCAUGAAGAUGCUGUAACCAUAAAGCAACCAGGACAACACACCUGGAGUGACAGAGAGCAGGAUGAAGAAAGAAUCGGACGAGAAAAUAUCAACUGGUGCCCAUGAGGAGACAUAUUGUUCUUGGACCUGCUUUUUCUGUUUAGUAAUAAGUGGUUUUAUGUGGUUAAAUAAAAGUAAUUUAAUAUUCAAUCCACAAGCUAAAUUUCUUAGAUUUUCUUAAAGUGGUAGUUCACCCAAAAAGGAGAAUUCUGUCAUCAUUUACACAAACAGUUUGGUUACAAACAUUUCUCACAAUAUCUUCCUUUGUGUUUAUCAGAACAAAGAAAUGUAUGCGGGUUUGUAACAACAUGAGAGUGUGUAAAUGAUGACAGAAUUUUCAUUUUUGGGUGAACUACCCAUUUAACAUUUUUAUACCCAGGGGUAAAAGAAAUGUAUGUUGAACAUUUUUACUUAGUCUUAUUGAAAGUAGCAGUAACAAAAAAGGCAAAUUAUUCAGCCAAGCUUAUUUUGUACUUUAAGAAAUGAACAGCUUUUUUUAUGGGUUUUAAGACCCUGAUAUGUGCUCGCCCAUAAAAUGCCCAGUGGUCCCACAAUUUUCCCUCAGUAUGCCCACACUUUGUCCAUUUUGCCCACAUUUUCCCCAUGUAUUUGUAUUUAAAUACAUUUUUCCACACAGUAUUUUGUAUUUGUGAUAUCUGUGAAUUUGUGAUAAUAUUUUGUAUUUGAAUUUUAAAACAAUUCCAUAUAUUGUAUGCCUAUCUCAGAUCAUAUGCAUGUGAAAGGCAGUUUCAGGCAGGUAUAAAUGAAAGGCAAGUAUAAAUAGCAGAACACAAAAGGUUUUCUGUGUCAUUAGAAAUGCAAUCAAAAAGUGGGACAACAAGGAUAACUGAUCAUGAAGGUAAGAACCUUAACCAUGCCAGUUGAGGGAUAUAUUAUGGCUGAAAAAACAAUAAACCAAUUAAUGAAAUAUUCAUGUCAUAUGUGUAUUUACCAUUUAAAUUCGUAUUACCUUUUUGUUAGCUGUCCUAUUUUGAGAUACGUAUUAGCCUAAUAGUAAUAGUAUAAUUAAUAUUAUAUAAUACAUUCUUAAAAUGAGGAUAAACCCUUGGAAAGACAUAGGAAAUAAUAUAGAAAUUUACCGAACAUGAAAAGACGUCUUUUAACCUUUCACUUUUCAACCAAAUUUAGCCUUUUUCUAGACGUCGAUUUAUAGGCGUCUUUUCAACGACAUGAAAAACACGUUUUUUCACCUUUCACUUUUCCGACGUCUUUUCAAUCAGAUUUUGCUGGGUGGGGCAGUUACUUGUCAUCCAUGCGGUUAAGCUUCUCAGUGCUGCUGCUCAUUGGUUACAUAACACUUCCCUACUAUUCGACUAUGAGGUUCAUAGUCGAAUCAGACCUCUCCGAAUCAAAUCGUCGAAUCCUCGACUAUAAGAAGUCAGCCCUAGUAGAUUCAUAAUUUCCACGUCAUACAGCACUGUUUAUGUUCUGCCCUUUAGCAUACAUUAUCCUACGUGUUAAAAUUUAACUUUAAGUUAAAGUUAAAUUUAACAAAUUUUACUUUAAGCCCCCCUGUAGAUCCACCCCUGACACAGCUCAUCCUGCUGUAAAAUAUUUUAUUACCAGGGUUGCAUCUUGUGAUAUUACAUCAUGAUUUUGGUUCUUUGCACUGUCCAAAUGCACUUUAGUCGAACCACACUCGUUUGUUUGGAAACAGUUUGCUUGUUCCUUGUGCACCAAAAUUUGGAUGCCAGCAUUCACAUUUACUAAAAUAAACUGCUCCAACUGAACAAUCGCACCAUAGUUUGUUUAAUUUGAACCAAAUAUGACAUACAUGAACACGUCCUUAGUUUGCAAAAAAACAAAUAAAGACAUUUUAAAUAAAUACUGUUAAUGUAU
Misgurnus anguillicaudatus (oriental weatherfish) is the source of this 2033-nucleotide long non-coding RNA. RefSeq lists it as uncharacterized. NCBI's taxonomy places the organism in Eukaryota, Metazoa, Chordata, Actinopteri, Cypriniformes, Cobitidae. The record is from RefSeq and is a predicted model, not a curated record.